GUUUUCAGCAAGACUAAGACCCACUAUUUUUCCUGUCUGAUUUCUGAUGUACGGUGCUGAUGAAGUCCCAGAAUCCUGAAGCUGCAAAUGACUCAGUAAAUCAGGUAUUCAGGACAUCAAAGAGGGCCAACUACUAAGAAGCAUUGCAGCAAAGACUCCAGUCUCAGAAACCACUGAACGCAGAAAUGGUCAGCAGCGCUUCAGUGGGUUGCCUUUGUUGCACUAUGACAUAACACUCAGGAAAUCUUGACAAGAAAAUUAUUGCCAGAUAUGUUUAUUCUUCAAACUAAGCUGGGAAUUUUCAGCACUAAAAUGGCCUAAUUUCCACUCUGCCAAUCAUCUGCAGUGUGAUUCAGCUGUGUGGAUGAUUGCUAGCUCUCCACAACCUGGGGACAGGCAGCAGAAUUUUUGAAG
This is a long non-coding RNA of Corvus hawaiiensis (hawaiian crow), 414 nucleotides long. RefSeq lists it as uncharacterized. Lineage: Eukaryota; Metazoa; Chordata; Aves; Passeriformes; Corvidae. The record is from RefSeq and is a predicted model, not a curated record. The transcript is spliced from 3 exons.